AAAAAUGGAGAAAAAGGAAAAUGUGCAGAUGGAAGAAACAUCAUCAUGAGGGCAAAAUGGGGCAUUGUUGUUUGAAGGGAACAGCUCCAUUCUCCAAAUGAUGACUGGAUAUCCACCUGAAGACUGGUUAACGAAUCAAAGAAAUGAGUCAGGAAAGCAAGACCAUGAAUCGUUCUCUGAGGCCAAGUAGCCAUGACGUGAGUUAAGUCCUGAAGACGGCUCUUUUGAAAAGGAAGUAUACAGGUUGGAUAAAGAAUUGAUUGAGAGCAGCC
Molecule: long non-coding RNA, 272 nt
Filed under: Zonotrichia albicollis (white-throated sparrow)
Lineage: Eukaryota; Metazoa; Chordata; Aves; Passeriformes; Passerellidae
Description: lncRNA (ENSZALG00000009894.1)
Source: RNAcentral